This 301-nucleotide ribosomal RNA is filed under the name uncultured bacterium. RNAcentral describes it as "partial 16S ribosomal RNA". It matches the Rfam family "Bacterial small subunit ribosomal RNA", at positions 509 to 807 of the family's 1533-position model. The record is from RNAcentral.
CAGUAGCCGCGGUAAUACGAAGGGGGCUAGCGUUGUUCGGAAUCACUGGGUGUAAAGGGUGCGUAGGCGGAUUCUUAAGUCAGGGGUGAAAUCCCGAGGCUCAACCUCGGAACUGCCUUCGAUACUGGGGAUCUUGAGUCCGGAAGAGGUGAGUGUAACUGUGAGUGUAGAGGUGAAAUUCGUAGAUAUUCGCAAGAACACCAGUGGCGAAGGCGGCUCACUGGUCCGGAACUGACGCUGAGGCACGACAGCGUGGGGAGCAAACAGGAUUAGAUACCCCCGUAGUCCCUGUCUCUUAUAC